AGAGAGAUUGUUUUAGUGUGUAUGACUUCAGGUUCGGGGAAUAAGUGAGGGCAACACAAUCGAGUAAAAUUACAGAGGCUCACGGUCCUUCUUACACGUGGCAGAAUAUCAGCCAUUGUUAUAACUUGGCUUUGUAGAUUUUCUGCUGCAUGAUUGGUCGGUCCCACGUUUGUCAUUAAAUAUGAUAUUUGAAGUCUGCAUGUCAUGUG
Molecule: long non-coding RNA, 209 nt
Filed under: Manihot esculenta (cassava)
Lineage: Eukaryota; Viridiplantae; Streptophyta; Magnoliopsida; Malpighiales; Euphorbiaceae
Description: long non-coding RNA (MESC_LNC002996)
Source: RNAcentral